RNAcentral lists this ribosomal RNA (444 nucleotides) under uncultured bacterium. RNAcentral's name for it is "bacterial SSU rRNA". It matches the Rfam family "Bacterial small subunit ribosomal RNA", at positions 331 to 792 of the family's 1533-position model. The record is from RNAcentral.
CCAGACUCCUACGGGAGGCAGCAGUGGGGAAUAUUGCACAAUGGGGGAAACCCUGAUGCAGCAACGCCGCGUGGGUGAAGGAGCGUUUCGGCGCGUAAAGCCCUGUCAGCGGGGAAGAAGAAAGACGGUACCCGACCAAGAAGCCCCGGCUAACUACGUGCCAGCAGCCGCGGUAAUACGUAGGGGGCGAGCGUUAUCCGGAUUUAUUGGGUUUAAAGGGUGCGCAGGCGGAAUGUCAAGUCAGCGGUAAAAUUUCGGGGCUCAACCCCGUCGUGCCGUUGAAACUGGCGUUCUUGAGUGAGCGAGAAGUAUGCGGAAUGCGUGGUGUAGCGGUGAAAUGCAUAGAUAUCACGCAGAACUCCGAUUGCGAAGGCAGCAUACCGGCGCUCAACUGACGCUCAUGCACGAAAGCGUGGGUAUCGAACAGGAUUAGAUACCCCAGUA